Molecule: ribosomal RNA, 200 nt
Filed under: uncultured bacterium
Lineage: Bacteria
Description: partial 16S ribosomal RNA
Rfam family: Bacterial small subunit ribosomal RNA
Source: RNAcentral
AGAGUUUGAUCCUGGCUCAGGACGAACGCUGGCGGCGUGCCUAACACAUGCAAGUCGAACGGGGAGUUAGCAAUAACUCCUAGUGGCGAACGGGUGAGUAACGCGUAGACAACCUACCUUCUAGAUGGGGACAACACCGCGAAAGUGGUGCUAAUACCGAAUAAGCUCGGAGCUAUGCCUGUAGAACCGAGGAAAGGUGG